UACGGAGGGGGCUAGCGUUGUUCGGAAUUACUGGGCGUAAAGCGCGUGUAGGCGGCUUAGAAAGUUAAAAGUGAAAUCCCAAGGCUUAACUUUGGAACAGCUUUUAAAACUCCUAAGCUAGAGUAGGAUAGAGGAUGGUGGAAUUCCUAGUGUAGAGGUGAAAUUCUUAGAUAUUAGGAGGAAUAUCGGUGGCGAAGGCGGCCAUCUGGGUCCUAACUGACGCUGAGACGCGAAAGCGUGGGGAGCAAACAGG
Molecule: ribosomal RNA, 253 nt
Filed under: uncultured bacterium
Lineage: Bacteria
Description: partial 16S ribosomal RNA
Rfam family: Bacterial small subunit ribosomal RNA
Source: RNAcentral